RNAcentral lists this ribosomal RNA (305 nucleotides) under uncultured bacterium. RNAcentral's name for it is "bacterial SSU rRNA". It matches the Rfam family "Bacterial small subunit ribosomal RNA", at positions 334 to 653 of the family's 1533-position model. The record is from RNAcentral.
AUGUCCUACGGGGCGCAGCAGUGGGGAAUAUUGCACAAUGGGCGAAAGCCUGAUGCAGCAACGCCGCGUGAAGGAAGAAGGGUUUCGGCUCGUAAACUUCUAUUAACAGGGACGAAAGAAAUGACGGUACCUGAAUAAGAAGCCCCGGCUAACUACGUGCCAGCAGCCGCGGGAAUACGUAGGGGGCAAGCGUUAUCCGGAAUUACUGGGUGUAAAGGGUGAGUAGGCGGCAUGGUAAGCCAGAUGUGAAAGCCUUGGGCUUAACCCGAGGAUUGCAUUUGGAACUAUCAAGCUAGCGUACAAGG